Molecule: ribosomal RNA, 523 nt
Filed under: uncultured eukaryote
Lineage: Eukaryota
Description: eukaryotic LSU rRNA
Rfam family: Eukaryotic large subunit ribosomal RNA
Source: RNAcentral
AGGGCCCGAGAUUGCGUCGACGCGGAUCCCGAAAAGGGCGUCGAUCCGUCGCGACAGCGGGACGGUGGUCAUGGAAGUCGAAAUCCGCUAAGAAGCGUGUAAAAACGUACCCGCCCAACGGAUCGGCCCCGAAAAUUGAUGGCGCUCGAACGCAACCCUCGAACCCCGCCGACGGAGGCUAGGGGGAGGCCCCGUCGAGUAGGCGGACGCGCGGGUCGCUUCGACGCUCUCGCGCGAGCGGGGGCGGAGCGGCCCGUGGUGCAGAUCUUGGUGGUAGUAGCGAUCACCCAGGCGAGAACCCCUGAGGGCCGAAGUGGAGAAGGGGUUUUCUCGAGAACGGCACUCGCUCGAGAGUUAGUCGAUCCUAAGCUGCCGGCGGCAGCCACGAAACGGUCGAUCGGGGCGCGAGCCCCGGCAGCCCACGACCGGGCAGCGAAAGGGAAUUGGGAACCUCCUUCCCAAACCCGGAACCGGAACGAGGGCGGCGACGCGAACGAAACGGCCGCGGAGACGGCGGCCGCGG